GAUCAAUCCAGCUCACCUGCACAGCUCCAGUCACAGGUCUGCCCAUCGAAGAGACCAUAGGAAUCCGCGCCUUCAUGAAACAAAGCUCUGAAGAAAGUCUGUGGUGAUCAAAGUGUUACACACUGCUCAUCCUUUCAAAACUUUUAUUAAAACAGAAUUAAGUAAGACUCUCAUUAACGACAAGACUUCUUGAGCUGCAAGGGUUUGCAAGACUUACUCCAAAGGACGUUGCCAAAGGCCGAGCUCCAAUGGCAGUGCCAGGAAAUUUGGCAGUCAUCUGAUUAAAUAAAGGAUAGUUUUUGAUUAGUAUUUGUUAAUAAAUAAGACAUCUUUCCUCCCCA
Long non-coding RNA from Acanthopagrus latus (yellowfin seabream), 341 nucleotides. RefSeq lists it as uncharacterized. The transcript is spliced from 2 exons. NCBI's taxonomy places the organism in Eukaryota, Metazoa, Chordata, Actinopteri, Spariformes, Sparidae. The record is from RefSeq and is a predicted model, not a curated record.